This 253-nucleotide ribosomal RNA is filed under the name uncultured bacterium. Its description in RNAcentral is "partial 16S ribosomal RNA". It matches the Rfam family "Bacterial small subunit ribosomal RNA", at positions 524 to 776 of the family's 1533-position model. The record is from RNAcentral.
UACGUAGGGUGCGAGCGUUAAUCGGAAUUACUGGGCGUAAAGCGUGCGCAGGCGGUUAUGUAAGACAGUUGUGAAAUCCCCGGGCUCAACCUGGGAAUUGCAUCUGUGACUGCAUAGCUAGAGUACGGUAGAGGGGGAUGGAAUUCCACGUGUAGCAGUGAAAUGCGUAGAUAUGUGGAGGAACACCGAUGGCGAAGGCAGCCCCCUGGGAUGUGACUGACGCUCAUGUACGAAAGCGUGGGGAGCAAACAGG